AAUAACAUUUAAGGCCAUGCAUGGUGAGGUCUUGUUAGCUGUUCUCUUAUAUCAUUCGAGCAUAAAGAGCUGGCCUGCCAGGGUCAGUCAGAAAUCCUAUUUUUCACUUUGGUCAUUAGAUAGUGUAAUUGCAGCCAAGAUUACCUCUUGAAAGGGAACUGGGCAGGUUUCAUGUGAGGAUAUAGGGCUGAAUGCUAAGGUUUAAAAUUUUGUUUCUGAAACUGAAAAUAGAACACAAAGGCAUUUGAGUUUAUAGCUUUUCACUUGGGUAAAAUUUUUCUUUUUAAAUUUCAUUAUGGAGGCUUUGGAUCCCCUGUUAAGAGAUAAGCAUUUUUUUAAACAACCAUUUAACUGAUUAUUUUUAUUAUUGUAUUUUAAAAUUCCUGGAGGUAAAUAUUCAUUUGACAUGCCUCUCAGCGUUAGGAAAGAGAUAUUAAAAUGCAGCGAAUAAACAGCCAACAGGACAGCUGUUAUUGCAAAAAGAACCCUGGGGUCCUCCAGGUACACAUUUUAUUUGCUGUAGUAGAAAAAUUCCCGUUCCUUUUCCUAGCUAAUUGCUUGCAUUAGUGCCUCCUGGUUCUUCCCUUGAAUUUACUAGAAAUGGAAAUUAAGAAACGAGUCCAGUCAUUGAUCAUUGGCCUGUCAACUUUGUGGACACUCACCCAGGUGAAUGAAAAACAUCUUGAUAAGAACAACAAAGUCAACAGCACCAAAGGCGGUGCUUUUAAAGCAGUUGUUCUUGUGAUGGUCUUUAAGCAGCUGAGACCAGUAGCCCUGUCGUCUAAUUGUCGCAUACUUUGUAAAUAAAACGAUUGCAUUCCCA
This 823-nucleotide long non-coding RNA is filed under the name Homo sapiens (human). RNAcentral's name for it is "HSALNT0403709". Lineage: Eukaryota; Metazoa; Chordata; Mammalia; Primates; Hominidae. The record is from RNAcentral.